RNAcentral lists this transfer RNA (73 nucleotides) under Salirhabdus euzebyi. It matches the Rfam family "tRNA". Rfam says of the family: Transfer RNA (tRNA) molecules are approximately 80 nucleotides in length. Their secondary structure includes four short double-helical elements and three loops (D, anti-codon, and T loops). The record is from Rfam by way of RNAcentral. Lineage: Bacteria; Bacillati; Bacillota; Bacilli; Caryophanales; Bacillaceae.
GCUUCCAUAGCUCAGCAGGUAGAGCACUUCCAUGGUAAGGAAGAGGUCGCCGGUUCAAGCCCGGCUGGAAGCU